This 496-nucleotide ribosomal RNA is filed under the name uncultured bacterium. Its description in RNAcentral is "partial 16S ribosomal RNA". It matches the Rfam family "Bacterial small subunit ribosomal RNA", at positions 28 to 506 of the family's 1533-position model. The record is from RNAcentral.
GAUGAACGCUGGCGGCGUGCCUAAUACAUGCAAGUCGAGCGAACGGACGAGAAGCUUGCUUCUCUGAUGUUAGCGGCGGACGGGUGAGUAACACGUGGAUAACCUACCUAUAAGACUGGGAUAACUUCGGGAAACCGGAGCUAAUACCGGAUAAUAUUUUGAACCGCAUGGUUCAAAAGUGAAAGACGGUCUUGCUGUCACUUAUAGAUGGAUCCGCGCUGCAUUAGCUAGUUGGUAAGGUAACGGCUUACCAAGGCAACGAUGCAUACCCGACCUGAGAGGGUGAUCGGCAACACUGGAACUGAGACACGGUCCAGACUCCUACGGGAGGCAGCAGUAGGGAAUCUUCCGCAAUGGGCGAAAGCCUGACGGAGCAACGCCGCGUGAGUGAUGAAGGUCUUCGGAUCGUAAAACUCUGUUAUUAGGGAAGAACAUAUGUGUAAGUAACUGUGCGCAUCUUGACGGUACCUAAUCAGAAAGCCACGGCUAACUACGU